GAUGAAGAAAGUAGCGAAAUGCGAUACGUAAUGUGAAUUGCAGAAUUCAGUGAAUCAUCGAAUCUUUGAACGCAUAUUGCGCUCUCUGGUAUUCCGGAGAGCAUGCUUGUUUGACUAUCAGUAAACACCUCAACUUCCAUAUCUUUUUUGAAAUGGGAGUUGGACUUGAGUGAUCCCAACGCUUUUCCUCACCGAAAAGUGGCGGGUUACUUGAAAUGCAGGUGCAGCUGGACUUUUCUCUGAGCUAUAAGCAUAUCUAUUUAGUCUGCCUAAAAAACAGAUUAUUACCUUUGCUGCAGCUAACAUAAAGGAGAUUAGUUCUUGUGCUGACUGAUGCAGGAUUCACAAAGACAGGCUUCGGCCGACUUUGUAAACUCGAUCUCAAAUCAAGUAAGACUACCCGCUGAACUUAAGCAUAUCAAUAAGCGGAGGA
Molecule: unclassified non-coding RNA, 433 nt
Filed under: soil metagenome
Description: partial contains 5.8S ribosomal RNA, internal transcribed spacer 2, and large subunit ribosomal RNA
Rfam family: 5.8S ribosomal RNA (bases 1-120)
Source: RNAcentral